Molecule: unclassified non-coding RNA, 215 nt
Filed under: uncultured Glomus
Lineage: Eukaryota; Fungi; Glomeromycota; Glomeromycetes; Glomerales; Glomeraceae
Description: sequence contains 18S rRNA gene
Rfam family: Eukaryotic small subunit ribosomal RNA (bases 36-215)
Source: RNAcentral
GGAUCAGUAUGUUGGUCGUGCUUCGGUACGUACUGUCAUUACUGGUUUCUCCCUUCUGAAGAACCUUGAUGUCACUAAUUUGGUGUCUUGGGGAAUCAGGACUGUUACUUUGAAAAAAUUAGAGUGUUUAAAGCAGGCAUACGCUUGAAUACAUUAGCAUGGAAUAAUGAAAUAGGACGUUCGAUCCUAUUUUGUUGGUUUCUAGGAUUGACGUA